This 240-nucleotide long non-coding RNA is filed under the name Amphimedon queenslandica. Its description in RNAcentral is "uncharacterized LOC109588006". The record is from RNAcentral. Lineage: Eukaryota; Metazoa; Porifera; Demospongiae; Haplosclerida; Niphatidae.
UAGUCCUGAACUCCUGAUUUCAGUGAUUUGAGCUCAACUGCUCCAGAAAUGAGUUCCAUAUAAAUAUAACAGAGCCCCCUACUAAAGGAAAGAUACUAUUAAAGACCACACUGGGUGAUAUUGAUAUUGAACUGUGGUCCAAAGAGGCUCCUCUGGCCUGUCGUAACUUCAUACAAUUGUGUUUAGAAGAUUAUUAUAAUGAUACCAUAUUCCACAGAGUCGUUUUUGGUAAUGGAUUAA